AGAGUUUGAUCCUGGCUCAGGACGAACGCUUGCGACGUGCCUGAGAAAUGCAAGUCGAGCGGACCCGUGCCCUUUCGGGGGCGUGGGUCAGCGGCGAACGGUCGAGUAACACGUAACCGACCUGCCCCGUGGUCCGGGAUAGUCCCUCGAAAGGGGGUUUAAUACCGGGUGGUCUCACAAGGCGGCAUCGUUUUGUGAGUAAAGCUUUAUGCGCCAUGGGAGGGGGUUGCGGCCUAUCAGCUGGUUGGUGUGGUAACGGCGCACCAAGGCGACGACGGGUAGCUGGUCUGAGAGGAUGGUCAGCCGGACUGGGACUGAGACACGGCCCAGACUCCUACGGGGGGCAGCAAUCAGGAAUCUUGCGCAAUGGGGGAAACCCUGACGCAGCGACGUCGCGUGGAGGAAGACGGCCUUCGGGUUGUAAACUCCUUUUGCGAGGGACGAGCAAGGACGGUACCUUGCGAAUAAGCCCCGGCUAACUCCGUGCCAGCAGCCGCGGUAAUACGGAGGGGGCGAGCGUUGUCCGAAUUUAUUGGGCGUAAAGCGCGUGUAGGCGGAUGUUCAAGCCCGGGGUGAAAGGUUGGGGCUCAACCCCAACAGUGCCCUGGGGACUGGACGUCUGGAGGCAGGCAAAGGAGCGUGGAAUUCCUGGUGUAGCGGUGGAAUGCGUAGAGAUCAGGAAGAACACCCGUGGCGAAGGCGGCGCUCUGGGCCUGUACUGACGCUGAGACGCGAAAGCGUGGGGAGCGAACGGGAUUAGAUACCCCGGUAGUCCACGCCGUAAACGAUGGAUGCUCGGUGUCGGGGGUAUCGACCCCCUCGGCGCCUUAGGUAACCCGGUAAGCAUCCCGCCUGGGGAGUACGGCCGCAAGGUUGAAACUCAAAUGAAUUGACGG
RNAcentral lists this ribosomal RNA (896 nucleotides) under uncultured Actinomycetes bacterium. RNAcentral describes it as "bacterial SSU rRNA". It matches the Rfam family "Bacterial small subunit ribosomal RNA", at positions 8 to 916 of the family's 1533-position model. The record is from RNAcentral. Lineage: Bacteria; Bacillati; Actinomycetota; Actinomycetes.